GACGAACGCUGGCGGCGCGCCUAAUACAUGCAAGUAGAACGCUGAAGGAGGAGCUUGCUUCUCUGGAUGAGUUGCGAACGGGUGAGUAACGCGUAGGUAACCUGCCUGGUAGCGGGGGAUAACUAUUGGAAACGAUAGCUAAUACCGCAUAAGAGUAGAUGUUGCAUGACAUUUGCUUAAAAGGUGCAAUUGCAUCACUACCAGAUGGACCUGCGUUGUAUUAGCUAGUUGGUGGGGUAACGGCUCACCAAGGCGACGAUACAUAGCCGACCUGAGAGGGUGAUCGGCCACACUGGGACUGAGACACGGCCCAGACUCCUACGGGAGGCAGCAGUAGGGAAUCUUCGGCAAUGGACGGAAGUCUGACCGAGCAACGCCGCGUGAGUGAAGAAGGUUUUCGGAUCGUAAAGCUCUGUUGUAAGAGAAGAACGAGUGUGAGAGUGGAAAGUUCACACUGUGACGGUAUCUUACCAGAAAGGGACGGCUAACUACGUGCCAGCAGCCGCGGUAAUACGUAGGUGGCAAGCGUUAUCCGGAUUUAUUGGGGCGUAAAGAGAGUGCAGGCGGUUUUCUAAGUCUGAUGUGAAAGCCUUCGGCUUAACCGGAGAGGUGCAUCGGAAACUGGAUAACUUGAGUGCAGAAAGAGGGUAGUGGGAGCUCCAUGUGUAGCGGUGGAAUGCGUAGAUAUAUGGAAGAAACCACUGGCGAAGGCGGCUACGUGGUCUGCACUGACGCUGAGACUCAAAGCAUGGGUAGCAACAGGAGUAAAUACCCCGUGGAGUCCAGGGCGAAGUACACAAUGGGGUCAGCUGAUCGCCCGGCGACCUCAGGGGGGGGCGGGGAGGGGGCUGGUUUCCCCCCUCCUCCAUCCCCUCCCCGAUGACUAUGUAGGUUAUAAGUGGUCCCACGGGAAAUGC
RNAcentral lists this ribosomal RNA (917 nucleotides) under uncultured Streptococcus sp. RNAcentral describes it as "bacterial SSU rRNA". It matches the Rfam family "Bacterial small subunit ribosomal RNA". Lineage: Bacteria; Bacillati; Bacillota; Bacilli; Lactobacillales; Streptococcaceae. The record is from RNAcentral.